Molecule: unclassified non-coding RNA, 1061 nt
Filed under: Hevea brasiliensis (rubber tree)
Lineage: Eukaryota; Viridiplantae; Streptophyta; Magnoliopsida; Malpighiales; Euphorbiaceae
Source: RNAcentral
GGAAACCUGUUACAAUUGAAUAUGAGUAAGUUCAAUCUGAUCUGUGCAUGUCUAGAUUAAAAGGGUGAUCAAAUGUAUGAAGCAUCCACACUUGUUGGCUCAAGGGAGGGUUGAUGUACGCAACAUUACCCUUGUUUGCAAAGAUGAUGUUUUUGUGGAUCAAACUUGUGACCUUCAGGUCACAAAUGGACACCAAAGCCACCCUCGAGUGCAUGCCCAGAUUACUCAUGAUUAUUGUGCAUGAGAUGAUAUGUAGCCAACAUUAGCAUUGAAAGGAGAAGAAACAAAUAAAGAGCCAAAGUUUUAUCAUAGUUAAAUGUCUUUGCUUAAUUUCAUAUUUGAAGAGAAACAGGAAAACCUCCUUUCUCCUUUUCUUACUUCAUUUUACAAUGUAAGAAAAAUAAAUAACCCAGGAUUCCAAGGAUUUCCUUGUUUGCACCUAAAUUCCAUGGAUUUCCUUGUUUGCACUUAGAUUCCAAGAAUUUGACAAACUAAAGAUAUAUGUACAUGUUGUGAAUUAGUAUGGAUUCUAAGACUAAUAUUGAUAUAGCCCGCCUAAAACCGAGUCAAAUGGUCAAAAGGCUUGGACAAAAGAGCUAACGCAAUGGUCAAAGAAUCAAGAAGUCAAGAGAGACUUGGUGCGAAUGUUAGGUGGCUUAGACGUUAACUUAGGAAUCCCAAACGUAUGAUGCUUGAAUGCUCAAUCGAAAGAUUUGAGCAUUGACCAAACUGAGCAUUAGCUAAGUUGGCUCAACAGAAGGGACAGAUUUGCGAGGAAAAUGCAUCUAAUAACGAUCUUGCCCGUUGAGAAUCUUGGGAUCAUAACUAAGCACUCUAAGAUUCUAGAAACCAUUUCCAUUGGUUAUUAAAGACUUCAAUCUAUAAAUAUCAGAAUAAAACACAGAUCAGACAUGCUUACUCUACUAAAAUCUCCAUUAAACAUUGUUCACAAUUUCCUAAAAAAACACAGAGUGGUUGGCCAAAAGGUCACCGACCUCACUUGUUUUUUAGUGUUACAAACUUACAUCACAAUCAAACUGGUCAAAGGAGACUCACAGCAG